This 373-nucleotide ribosomal RNA is filed under the name uncultured eukaryote. Its description in RNAcentral is "partial 18S ribosomal RNA". It matches the Rfam family "Eukaryotic small subunit ribosomal RNA", at positions 592 to 976 of the family's 1831-position model. The record is from RNAcentral.
CAAUAGCGUAUAUUAAAGUUGUUGCAGUUAAAAAGCUCGUAGUUGAAUUUUUGCUUGCCGCCGAUGUCGGAACUUCCGUACGUUCGGCGGCGUGCAUCCUUGGGUGGAACCUGUGUGGCAUUAGGUUGUCGUGCUGGGGAUGCCCAUCGUUUACUGUGAAAAAAUUAGAGUGUUCAAAGCAGGCUUACGCCGUUGAAUAUAUUAGCAUGGAAUAAUAAGAUAGGACCUUGGUACUAUUUUGUUGGUUUGCGCACCGAGGUAAUGAUUAAUAGGGACAGUUGGGGGUAUUCGUAUUCCAUUGUCAGAGGUGAAAUUCUUGGAUUUCUGGAAGACGAACUACUGCGAAAGCAUUUACCAAGGAUGUUUUCAUUAA